GUCUCAGCCGCCGCGGUAAUACGGAGGAUGCAAGCGUUAUCCGGAUUUAUUAGGUUUAAAGGGUGCGUAGGCGGAAUAGUCAGUCAGUGGUGAAAUCCUACAGCUUAACUGUAGAACUGCCAUUGAUACUGCUAUUCUUGAGUUCAGUUGAGGUAGGCGGAAUGUGUAGUGUAGCGGUGAAAUGCUUAGAUAUUACACAGAACACCGAUUGCGAAGGCAGCUUACUAAACUGACACUGACGCUGAGGCACGAAAGCGUGGGGAGCGAACAGGAUUAGAUACCCUGGUAGUCCACGCCGUAAACGAUGAUCACUCGUUGUAUGCUUAUAUUUAGUAUGCGACCGAGCGAAAGUAUUAAGUGAUCCACCUGGGGAGUACGUCGGCAACGAUGAAACUCAAAGGAAUUGACGGGGGCCCGCACAAGCGGUGGAACAUGUGGUUUAAUUCGAUGAUACGCGAGGAACCUUACCUGGGCUUAAAUGUAGAACGACUUUUGCUGAAAGGCAUUUUCCCUUCGGGGCGAUCUACAAGGUGCUGCAUGGUUGUCGUCAGCUCGUGCCGUGAGGUGUCGGGUUAAGUCCCAUAACGAGCGCAACCCCUAUUGUUAGUUACCAGCGGAUAAUGCCGGGGACUCUAGCGAGACUGCCACCGUAAGGUGAGAGGAAGGUGGGGAUGACGUCAAAUCAGCACGGCCCUUAUGUCCAGGGCUACACACGUGUUACAAUGGCCGGUACGGAGGGCAGCUACCUGGUGACAGGAUGCAAAUCUCCAAAAACCGGUCUCAGUUCGGAUCGGAGUCUGCAACUCGACUCCGUGAAGUUGGAAUCGCUAGUAAUCGCGUAUCAGCAACGACGCGGUGAAUACGUUCCCGGGCCUUGUACACACCGCCCGUCAAGCCAUGGAAGCUGG
RNAcentral lists this ribosomal RNA (908 nucleotides) under uncultured bacterium. RNAcentral's name for it is "bacterial SSU rRNA". It matches the Rfam family "Bacterial small subunit ribosomal RNA", at positions 505 to 1414 of the family's 1533-position model. The record is from RNAcentral.